GUCUUCCACCACUUUCUUUAAAUCUUUAUUCAAUCAUCACUUUAAGCUCUGUUGGAAAUCAUCCUCUAGGCUCGUUAAUGGUCCUCGUAAAAACAGGUCCGUUCAAUCUUUCUUCCUGAUUUCGUCUUUUUUUUCCCGAUUUGGUUCUAAAAGUUUAUGCUAUAAGUUGCUUAAUUUUGUGUGAUCCGGUUUAUAUUUUGAUUUUUGGAUAGGGGCUUUUUUUUUUUGCAGGUUGUCUUGACCUUGAAUUGUUAUAGCUGAGCGAGGUUUCAGUUUUGGCUACUAAAACAAGUUCUAAUCGUUCAAGUCUUUCACCAAUAGCUUAGGCUUUUUGAAACCCCUCCACUGGUAGGUACCAUUAUUCAAUGUUUUUCUUUUUUGCAAGAACCGUAUUUGUUUGAUAAGAUAUCUCAAUACUCACGCACACAUACACAUUAUAAUUAGCAUUUUCUUUAUAUUUAUUCCUUUUAUAUAUGUAGGCUUUUGCUUCACUUAUGGAGUCUCGUAAUCCGUAUAAUGUUUUUUUUUUUUUUUUUGUUUUAGCUUUAGAAUGAGCGUAGAUAAAUGAACUUCAUUAAGAUUUCUGUAAGGCAAUGAAUGGUCUGAUCAAAUUGGUCAAGCAUCAUGACUUUUGAGCACCUUAGGAUUUCUGGCAUGUUUGGCUAAGCUUUUUGAAACAACUUAUUGACUUAUUGGUUUUUUGAAAAGUCAUAAGCUCCAAAAUAAUGUUUGGCAAUGAGGGUGUAUGUGAGGAGAAAAAGCCAAUAAGUCAAUAAGUUGUUUCAAAAAGCUUAGCCAAACAUGCCCUUCAUCUUACCACUGUCUUUGUUUAUUUUUUUAGGACUAGCAGAAGUGGAGAUCCCUAUCUACAUUGUUUUCAACCGUUUUCCCAGGAAUGAACAAAUAUUAAAUCCAAACAGUGUAGUAUGAUGUUUAAUGUACACCGUAUACACGUUUAGUGAAUGUUUAUUGUAAGCAUAUGUAUGUUACAUGACAAACAAGGGUCAGACAUCGAUUUGGUUAGGUGAUGAGAGAUCUAUUUUAAUAAUUGUUUGUAGUAUUUCAUUUCGUGUACAAGAACAAACAAUAAGCAUACAACCACACUUUCUUAAUUUUUGUUCUAGUGUUUUUUCUAUAGUGGUUUGUCACCGCCAUGGCUUGCUUCUAGCUUUUGGGAGUGGAAAAGGAACUUGCUUUACAUGCCCUUAUCAUGUGAGUUAACUUCUACAAUCUGAGAAUUGUGUUUUCUUGGUUAGUUGGUGAAUCUUGAAAGUACAAGCAUGUACGAGCUUAGUUUUUUGCAGGUCUUUUGUGACAGUUACUUAUUAUAUGGCCGGUAUCGUGUACCUUUCGCACAUAAAGAUCUUGCAUCACGAUAAAUAAGUAUACUCUAUGGAUGGACACCAAUGAAGAAUGGUAUUUUGGAGAAUCUCAAAUCGAGAAUUUAGUG
RNAcentral lists this long non-coding RNA (1450 nucleotides) under Helianthus annuus (common sunflower). RNAcentral's name for it is "sRNA HanXRQr2_Chr14g0647661". Lineage: Eukaryota; Viridiplantae; Streptophyta; Magnoliopsida; Asterales; Asteraceae. The record is from RNAcentral.